This is an RNA transcript of Peromyscus eremicus (cactus mouse), 5055 nucleotides long. It is a transcript of the gene named leucine zipper protein 1, with no coding region annotated. Lineage: Eukaryota; Metazoa; Chordata; Mammalia; Rodentia; Cricetidae. The record is from RefSeq and is a predicted model, not a curated record. The transcript is spliced from 5 exons.
CGCUGUGCACGGAUGAUCUCACUGCACCCUCCCAACGUCUCUGAGAGGCAUCCCUUUUGAAUUCAGUCUUGCCUUCCAAGUCAGGUUACCGUCGGAGCCCAGCACCUAGCUAGGAAGGCAAUGAAAACUUGGCUGGGUUCAAACCCUAGGUUUGGAAGUGGGAGGGCAAAAGAAAGGCCCAAGGGGCGUGGCCUCGACUCAGUCACGCCCCCGGAACGCUGACGCCACACGAGGCCCCGCCCCUCAUUGUCAGUCUGGGGGAGCCUGAGCAGGCGCCGGCUGCUGGGAGCGAAGCGCCGGAUCCUUCGGCGGCGGGACCGCGGGCCGGAGCGGCAGAGGGCAAGAGACAGCUACCAGUGAAAGACAGUGAUUGUUUCCAAGACAGCAGGCAGUGGGGAGGGCAACGAGAAGUCACCACAGAAAGCUCCCAUUACCUAAAUGAUUUAUAAUGGUCUUCAGUUGCCAAAGAAGGUUGUGGAUGCCAAGAGAAAGGUAACCAGUUUCUCCAGUGCAGUUGGAUGCCUCUAGCAGUCCACCUUGGCUGGCUGUAGACAUGGCAGACAUGGCCAGCUACAAGGAUGCUGCCUCCAGUCGCCAUCUGCGGUUUAAGUUACAGAGCCUGAGCCGCCGCCUCGAUGAAUUGGAGGAAGCCACAAAAAACCUCCAGAAAGCUGAGGAUGAGCUCCUGGACCUCCAGGACAAGGUGAUUCAGGCGGAGGGCAGCAACUCUAGCAUGCUGGCUGAGAUCGAGGUGCUGCGUCAGCGGGUACUGAAGAUUGAAGGUAAAGAUGAGGAAAUUAAGAGAGCAGAGGACCUGUGUCAUAUGAUGAAGGAGAAACUUGAAGAGGAGGAAAGCCUUACCCGAGAGCUAAAAUCUGAGAUCGAGUGGCUUCAGAAACGAAUGGCUGAGUUAGAGAAGCUGGAGGAGGCCUUGAGCAGGAGCAAGAAUGAAUGUUCCCAGCUUUGUUUGAGCCUGAAUGAAGAGAGAAAUCUGACCAAGAAAAUCUCUUCUGAGUUGGAAAUGCUCAGAGUCAAAGUGAAAGAACUGGAGUCUUCGGAGGACCGCUUGGAUAAAACUGAGCAGAGCUUAGUGUCAGAGUUAGAAAAGCUAAAAUCAUUGACCCUGAGCUUCGUAAAGGAGAGAAAAUACUUGAAUGAAAAGGACAAAGAAAAUGAGAAAUUAAUAAAAGAGCUUACUCAAAAACUGGAGCAGAACAAGAAAAUGAGCCGAGAUCACACGAGGAACGCUUCUACUCUUUCGGAGAGGAGUGACCUGCGCAUCGAGGAUGGCAUCUCCUCCACAUUGCCAUCCAAAGAAUCGAGAAGGAAGGGCAGUCUGGACUACCUAAAGCAGGUGGAGAAUGAAAGCAGAGACAAAUCAGAAAAUGAAAAGAAUCGGAACCAGGAGGAUAACAAAGUUAAAGACCUCAACCAAGAGAUUCAGAAACUCAAGACACAGAUCAGACACUUUGAAUCUUUGGAAGAAGAGCUUAAGAAAAUGAGGGCUAAAAACAAUGACCUUCAGGAUAAUUACCUAACUGAACUGAAUAAAAACAGAAUCUUAGCUAGCCAGCUAGAGGAGAUAAAGCUGCAAGUCAAGAAACAGAAAGAGUUAGGAAAUGGGGACAUAGAAGGGGAAGAUGCUUUCCUAUUGGGCAGAGGCAGGCACGAGAGGACUAAGUUCAGAGGUCAUGGGGGUGAGGCAUCCAUGUCCAGGCACACACCCCGGGAACUGUCCCCUCAACAUAAGCGGGAAAGGAUCCGGAACAGGGAGUUUGCUCUCAAUAAUGAAAACUAUUCUCUAAGCAACAAGCAGGCUGCUUCUCCUAUUUUUGCCAACAGAAGGGCAGCCAAAGCUUCCAACAUGGGAGUGACUGCGGACAGUGGACCUCAGGAGACAAAGAGAGCUGAAGACCGAUUUGUACCUGGCUCCUCGCAGAGUGAAGGGAAGAAGAGUAGGGAACAGCCAUCAGUGCUUAGCCGUUACCCCCCUGCUGCCCAGGAGCACAGUAAAGUUUGGAAGGGAACUCCCAAGCCAGGCACUGAGAGCGGACUUAAGGGGAAGGUAGAGAAGACAACUCGAACGUUUAGUGACUCCACCCAUGGAUCUGUUCCUAAUGAUACAAUGGGUAGAGGAGACAAGACUUCUGAGAUCUCCUCUGAGGCCCACUAUGGCAAGAGAGGACAGAUGCCUGGCAGUGGAAGUCAAGUAACUCAGGCUGCAGAUUUGGGCUGUUCUAAGGCCACUGGAGCUCUGUCCUCCUCUCAGAGAGCCUCCUCAGAAGGGAAUUCUAAGGGCAAAAAGACUGCUAAUGGACUGGAAGCUGAUGCUAAUUUUCCAAAUUCUAAAGCUCCUACUUUAUCAAAGUAUCCUUAUAGUUCAAGAAGCCAAGAAAGUAUCAUUCAGGGCUUUUCAACGCCAACUAAAGAAGGAGUUGAUCAGUCUGUAGCAGUUGUAAUGGAAGACAGCAGUCAGCAUGAAGCUCUGAGGUGCCGUGUCAUCAAAUCCAGUGGCAGAGAGAAGAUGGACUCAGAUGAUGACUUGGACAUAGAAUCUCUUGUCACUGCCAAGUUGGUGAGCACAACUAUCACUCCAGAGCCAGAGCCCAAACAACAGCCAAACUCUAGAGAAAAGGCCAAGUCCCGAGGGGGACCUAGAACUGCCCUAUUUGAAAAUAAUAAAAAUGCUGCAAUAGAAAACGAAUCUGUGAAAUCUACCAGAGCUUCCUCCAAUGCUGUAGAAUUCCCAGAUGCCAAUGGUGCUGGGGUGAAAAACCAAAGGCCCUUCAGCCCCAGAGAGGCCCUGCGGUCCAGAGCGAUUAUAAAACCUGUUAUCAUUGAUAAGGAUGUGAAAAAAAUCAUGGGAGGAUCUGGAUCUGAGGUUGUCCUGGAGAAGCAGAGGUCCUCCACCUCUAAACCUGUGCCAAGCAAAGUGACAAGCAGCAUCACCAUCUACCCCUCUGACAGCAGUGGCCCUAGAGCCAUCCCAGGAGAGGCCCCAAGGGAGAGGCAUACCUCCACCAGCAAUAUCCAGGUGGGGCCCCCAGAGCUCACAUCAGUCAGCAACCAUGUCAGCUCCCCCCUUGAGCUCUCUAUUCAUAAACAUGACGUCACCUUGCAGCUCACAGAAGCUGAAAGAAUGGGAGAUGGGUCUCCAAAGAAUAGGCCAGAGACAGUGGUCUCUCGGAGCAGCAUUCUAAUUAAGCCAUCAGAUGCUGUGGAGAGGAAUAGUCAUGCCCCCCCAGCGGAGACAAUCAGGUGGAAAAGCCAUAGCACCUCUUCAGAGGUAGGCUCUUCAGAUCCCAGACACGUCACUGUGCGGAAUGCUUGGAAGAGUAAGCGAGACUUGAAAUGUUCAGAAGACACCCCAACUCGAGUAGGUAGGCACAUGGAAUCUACCAAUGCCUACACACAGAGGUCUUCCACAGACUUCUUAGAGCUGGAACAGCCCAGGUCCCUCCCUUCUGAACAGGGCACUCGGAAGGUAGGAAAUGCAGGGGAUGCUCCUGAACUCUCCUGUAGAAGGACCCAAAGUAGCCUCACUGCAUCAGAGGUUCUCACCCGGAGGAAUCGGAUAGGAGAUGCCACCACUGCCGCCUCCUGGAACCACUCAGCAAGCAUGGAGGAAGGGGAGGACGGCACAUUUGUUAUCAGCAGGCGAGUGCACAACGCCCUGGAGCAUUCUGAACUGCCUGGGAAGCAGGGGUUGCCAGAGUCUGAGCAAGUCUGGGCUGAGGAGCGACUACAGCUGGCCAGGCCAUAUGCCGAGGAAGACUGAGCCAGCUAGGUGACAUCUGCUAAUUUCUUCCCUCCUCCUGCUUCUCAGCUCCUCCCCUUUCCUGGCCUGAGAAGGAUCCAAGGCCAGUUAAUCAGGCUAGACACAAAGGCCUUGGCUGGGAGACUGUAGAGAGCCAGGCUAUGGCUCAGUUGGCUCCUUGUUUGCCCUAAGGGACCACCCAAGAACCAUCAGCCAUCAUUUCCAUCUAGGGGGCCUACAUGCCUGUCUUUGAGUUCUUGAGAAUUUGGAAACAGAAAAGGGGUCUGUGCCGUGCCUCUAAGUAAUUAUGAUUAUGGGACCACCUUUACGUUGAAGCUUCCUGACUCAGCCUUUGGCUAACCAGUUUCUUGGAGGCAGAGCAUGAUACCAAAUGGAAUGAUACCAUCCUCCAACUUCAGUUCUCAGCUCACCUUCCAAAGGCAUCAGAAACAGACAGAUCUCAUGCAUCUCCUUUCCCGGGCACCAACAUUGCUGCUGGCAUCACCUCUGCUCUUGCUGGGGGCUGGAAACUUCAGCGGACUUCAUCAUUCUUAUCUUGGGAAAAUCCCUAGACUGAGCUGGCUUGACCCAGCAUACUCUGCCUUCUAGGAAGUGCCCAGCAAAUGGGAAAGCAAACAAGAACAAGCGAAUUCCUUUAGUCACUCCACAAAGCAAUAGCUCCAUGAAAGGCAUGGACUGACUGCUCUCUCCCAUUCCUCCUCCAUCCUGUGGAGCAGGCCUCGCACUUUACCCUGCUGACUGCUGAUGCACCAAUUCCCACACAAGCAAGCCCUUGGUAUCCACGAGUAGAUCAUUAUUUCAGUGAUUUCAUUGGAGGAAAGCCAAUACCUGCCUGUUGAGGGCCUCAGAUUUAUGCAGUUCAAAGUGCAUUAAGCCUUUUAGGAAGGCAGAUAAAUAAAAAAAAAACUUUUAUCUCCUUAUACCAACCACAUGGGGAGGUUAACUAUUUGCUUGUUGCUGAAUUUUUUGAAGCAUUCUUUCUGUUCAAAGGGAUCCUCCAUGGCUACCUAUGUGAAGUGGAUGUCAUUGCCUUGUCACUGGACUAGGAGUCUGGAAAGCCAUUUGUCCCUGUCCCUCCUGGCUUUGUCACUCCUUGCUCUGUGAUCUUUGGCAAAUCAUUGUCUUCUUGGAGCCUCAGUUUCCCCUAUCUUUAAGAUGAGUUCUUUGUUGGUUUUUCAUUUGUUGCUCACAUGUCUGUACACACGUGCAUGCUGGGGUUGAACCUAGGACGUGGCAUGCUAGGCAAGUGUUCUGCCACCUCUGCUUCACAGCUCAAA